Molecule: small nuclear RNA, 103 nt
Organism: Lynx canadensis (Canada lynx)
Lineage: Eukaryota; Metazoa; Chordata; Mammalia; Carnivora; Felidae
Source: Ensembl
GUGCUUUGGCAGCACUUAUACUAAAGUUAGAACAAUACAGAGAAGAUCAGCAUGGCCCCUGCGCAAGGAUGACACGCAGAUUCGUGAAGCGUUCCGUAUUUUG